GCCAGACUCCUACGGGAGGCAGCAGUGAGGAAUAUUGGUCAAUGGCCGGAAGGCUGAACCAGCCAAGCCGCGUGAGGGAGGAAGGCGCAGAGCGUCGCAGACCUCUUUUGCCGGGGGACAAAAGGCCGGACUCGUCCGGUCCUGAGGGUACCCGGAGAAAAAGCAUCGGCUAACUCCGUGCCAGCAGCCGCGGUAAUACGGAGGAUGCGAGCGUUAUCCGGAUUUAUUGGGUUUAAAGGGUGCGCAGGCGGAGGUGCAAGUCAGCGGUCAAAUUGCGGGGCUCAACCCCGUACUGCCGUUGAAACUGGCAGACUUGAGUUGGCGAGAAGUACGCGGAAUGCGCGGUGUAGCGGUGAAAUGCAUAGAUAUCGCGCAGAACUCCGAUUGCGAAGGCAGCAUACCGGCGCCCAACUGACGCUGAAGCACGAAAGCGUGGGUAUCGAACAGGAUUAGAUACCCCCGUAC
This 465-nucleotide ribosomal RNA is filed under the name uncultured bacterium. RNAcentral's name for it is "bacterial SSU rRNA". It matches the Rfam family "Bacterial small subunit ribosomal RNA", at positions 330 to 793 of the family's 1533-position model. The record is from RNAcentral.